CCUACGGGCGGCAGCAGUGGGGAAUAUUGCACAAUGGGCGCAAGCCUGAUGCAGCCAUGCCGCGUGUAUGAAGAAGGCCUUCGGGUUGUAAAGUACUUUCAGCGAGGAGGAAGGCAUUAUGGUUAAUAACCUUGGUGAUUGACGUUGCUCGCAGAAGAAGCACCGGCUAACUCCGUGCCAGCAGCCGCGGUAAUACGGAGGGUGCAAGCGUUAAUCGGAAUUACUGGGCGUAAAGCGCACGCAGGCGGUCUGACAAGUCGGAUGUGAAAUCCCCGGGCUCAACCUGGGAACUGCAUUCGAAACUGGCAGGCUAGAGUCUUGUAGAGGGGGGUAGAAUUCCAGGUGUAGCGGUGAAAUGCGUAGAGAUCUGGAGGAAUACCGGUGGCGAAGGCGGCCCCCUGGACAAAGACUGACGCUCAGGUGCGAAAGCGUGGGGAGCAAACAGGAUUAGAUACCCCUGUAGUC
Molecule: ribosomal RNA, 465 nt
Filed under: uncultured bacterium
Lineage: Bacteria
Description: bacterial SSU rRNA
Rfam family: Bacterial small subunit ribosomal RNA
Source: RNAcentral